AGAGCCCUAUCUCCCUAAGACU
Molecule: transfer RNA, 22 nt
Filed under: Martes zibellina (sable)
Lineage: Eukaryota; Metazoa; Chordata; Mammalia; Carnivora; Mustelidae
Also listed under: 2 other names
Description: partial tRNA-Thr
Source: RNAcentral